GGGGUGGGGGUGGGGGUGGGGGGGGGGGGCUGGUUCUUGCGGGCUCUCGCUUUUAGUGUAAUGUUGAGUAAAGUGGUUCAUACACGUUCUUAAGGUUCACGGUGGUUUAAGGAGCCAAACUGCUCCGGUUUGCAGGAAAUUCCUCAAGACCCGGUGGGAAUCUGCUGUCGUGACGCAGUGAAGUCACCUAAUGAGAGAGUUCACCAGACCAGAGGAAACAGUACGUGCAGCGGGGUCCUGACGAACACAUUGCUUCAUUCUCCUUAAAUCCUCCUUGCUUUAUUACAGACGCAAUCCCUGGAUCAGCCUUCCGAGCUCCUUGAGAGCAAAGGCCCAAGGUUCUAUUUCUUUGUCACAUCCCAGCGUCUGGCACAUGAGGUGCUCAUUACGUUGUUGAAAUAGUGAACUGGUAAACCCAGAAACAACUCGUGUGUGUGUGUGUGUGUGUGGGUGUGUGCGCGCGCGUGCGGCCCAAAGUCCAGGGUGGGCAUGCGUGUUGGCCAUUUCCCGUUACACAAGAAUUAGGCCAGCAAAAUUCUUCGCUAAUACCAAGAUGUAAGUUUGUUGAGAUGCAGGAAUAGAGUGACUAGGAUGCCUUGGGGAUGGUAGGUGCUCGGCAAUUACAAAUACUCGAAUUUUCAGUGUUUUCCGAUGGGCCUGCCGGGCACCCUUCUAAGUACUUUAUUUUUAUCAAGUCAUUUAAUCCUCAGGACAGGCUUCUUACCCUAUUUCACAGAGGAGGGAACUGAAGCCUAAAGUUCAGUAAUUUGCCCAAGGUCAGGCAACUAACAGCAGAAUCCAGAAUAAAGAAAUGCAGGCAGCAUGGAGCCAGAGUGGGUGUUCUUGAUGCUAAAUCUUCUUAGGCUGCUAGACUAAAUAAAGUAACUAGGGAAGCAGUAGAGUUUCAAGUCUGUGAGGAUAUUCAGUGAAACGUGUGAAGUUGAAGAGGUUUAUUUAUUUUUAAAGAUUUUAUUUAUCCAUGAAAGAGAGGCAGAGACAGGCAGAGGGAGAAGCAGGCUCCCUGCAGGACUCGAUCCCAGGACCCCCGGAUCAUGACCUGAGCUGAAGGCAGAUGUUCAACCACUGAGCCACCCAGGUGUCCCAAAGGGGUUUAAUACCCAAACUAAAGACCUGAAAUUUACUAAGAUUGUAAUUUGAAUGAAUUAAUUCCCAAGUGAUUGUCGGUAACUGGAGCUACUGUCAGCUCCUCCUGGGGCAUAUGUGUCCCGGCUAGGUGAUUUGGGAAGUUUUCUAGAUUGCCAUCAUCAGGUAUCUCAGGAAGGAGAUGAGCAGAGAAACAUGCACAUUGCAGAUGUGCCCUCAGAGAGAAGCCUUUUUUUUUUUUUUUUUUUUUUUUUUUUUUUGAAUCUCUUAUCUUGAACUCUGCUCUGACCUCCAGCUGAAAUGGGACAUGGCAGUUUUUAAGAGUCAUUGAGAGUCUUAGAUUCAGCUCCGUUGUGAUGGACUUUGAAUACCCUUGAAUAAAGAUAGUAAAGCAGGCAACUGGCUCUUUCAGGUUCUCCCUGUAUUUAUGGCCUACUUCUUAGUUUUGGGGAAAUAUUAUUACUAUGCCACAAAUCCUCUGUAAACUGAAUAUGGGUAUAGAGUAGGACUCUUGGAAAUUUACACAGCUUUCCCAACUGUUAUUUCUAUUCAUAAUUUACAAAAACAAAAACUCAAAAUACAAAAGUGUGAUUCAAUAAGACUCAAAUCCAGGUGACUCUAAAACCUCUACAUUUUCCUCCACAGAGUAAAUUCCAUGUUAAUUUCUGUGGUUGGCCCCCCCCAGUCCUGUGGUUCCUCACAUAAUGCAUAUACUGGUGUUUUGCUCUGCUGAAGGGUUAAAGGAAAUAUUCUGUCCUCUGCCUUGCCUGUUCGCUUCCAAAGUCCCUUCUCCCCACAGCAUGGAGGAAACCUUUGCAACAGGGAGGCCCCUAAGACUGUGUUUCAGCCUGAGGUCAGCGAGGUGCAAUGUAUCUGUUCCACAAAGUAAGUGUUCCAUGGGUGCUUUCUUUAUACAGUUAUUAACACUAGGCUGUGUCUUCAUGAUGCCACAGUCACUACAACAAUUACUUUAAGAGGCUAAUCUUAAACUCAUCAAACCCUGUGUUCAUUUUGAGGUUACAUAGAUGAGUCAAAGCCUGUGUGGCUUCACAUAUUCAACAUAUUCUUCAACAACUAGUUGUUGGGAUCCCUGGGUGGCGCAGCGGUUUGGCGCUUGCCUUUGGCCCAGGGCACGAUCCUGGAGACCCGGGAUCAAAUCCCACGUCGGGCUCCCGGUGCAUGGAGCCUGCUUCUCCCUCUGCCUGUGUCUCUGCCUCUCUGUCUCUCUCUGUGUGACUAUCAUGAAUAAAUAAAUAAAAUCUUUAAAAAAAAAAAAAACAACUAGUUGUUAACGGCUUAUAGCUAGUUUAUAUAUGCUCUCCAACAUGAGAUUGUAAGCCCUUAUCAGGACAGUUUUGCUAAAAUAGGGGAAUUGAAGUCUGUUAUAUGUGAGAUCCUAUGUGGUACCAACUAAAUCUAGCCAACAGCAGUUGUCUUAAAUGGCAGCAACUUGCUCAUUUCAGAGCCUUCUUAACAGCUGUGAGGGUCCACGCUCUCCUUAGUCUAUGUUUACAAGCUUGUCAGGGGCAGAAAAGCAAGGUGUGUGAGGGGCUAUGGCAGAGUGUGAGAUAACUCGUCCAAAACAUCCUGAAGAUACCCUCAGCUGAAUACCGAGUGUCCAUUAUGACAGGUGAAAGCUGGAAGCCUUCUUGUGGAAUCUUCUGUUUACCCUCAGGCAGAAGUGUGAUUAAUCAAUCCAAACAUAAACAUCCACACACUUAAGAAAGAACAAACUCUAGGCAGGGAGAUUUAGCAUUCCCUGAAUAGCCUAUUUCGAUGUUUUGAAAGACUGAGGGAAUCUCUUCCAUUAACCUAAAUCCAUCAUGUGGCUGCUUGUACCAAUUCCCAAGAAGAGCUGGAAGACAUCUGGUGACCACAUCUGUGUUAAAACCCUCCAUGUCCUCUCAAACUAUUAUUAGAUUCAGGAUAAUUUGCCAUGUGCAGAAUUUCCCAUAAUAUUGGACUCCAGACUAAUCAUUCCUCUUGGCAAAAAAUGAUGGCACCAAUUAUUAGAACAUGACGGUUGUGAAUGAGCAAAAUAAAUUCAUCUAAAAUUAAUGACAUAUUGUAAUACAUUUUUUGGAAAGCUUUCAUGUAUGCUAAAUAAAAGAGUAGUUACAUA
Molecule: long non-coding RNA, 3226 nt
Organism: Canis lupus familiaris (dog)
Lineage: Eukaryota; Metazoa; Chordata; Mammalia; Carnivora; Canidae
Exons: 2
Source: RefSeq, a predicted model, not a curated record